CCGAGUUUUCAACUCCCAAACCCCCUGUGAACUUAUACCAUUUUACCGUUGCUUCGGCGGGUUUUUCGCCCCGGAACAGGCCAACGCCUCCCUCUCCCCGAGGGCGGCGCGGCCGGCCCGGAACCAGGCGCCCGCCGGGGGACCCAAACUCCUGUACUUCUCACCUGUGGCAUGUCUGAGUGGAAUCAUUUACAGAAUGAAUCA
RNAcentral lists this unclassified non-coding RNA (204 nucleotides) under uncultured Cordycipitaceae. RNAcentral describes it as "sequence contains ITS1". The record is from RNAcentral. Lineage: Eukaryota; Fungi; Ascomycota; Sordariomycetes; Hypocreales; Cordycipitaceae.